UGCGACACAACCAAGUAUAGGAGGUCCAGCCUGCCCAGUGACUACAAGUUCAACGGCCGCGGUAUUUUGACCGUGCAAAGGUAGCGCAAUCACUUGUCUUUUAAAUAGAGACCUGUAUGAAUGGCUAAACGAGGGCUUAACUGUCUCCCCUUUCCAGUCAGUGAAAUUGAUCUACCCGUGCAGAAGCGGGUAUAAUAAUACAAGACGAGAAGACCCUUUGGAGCUUAAGGUACAAAACUCAACCACGUUAAGCAACUCAAUAAAAAGUGAAAACUUUGUGGAACAUGAGAUUUUACCUUCGGUUGGGGCGACCACGGAGGAAAAAAGAGCCUCCAGGUGGAACGGGAGAAUUUCCUAAAACUAAGAGAGACAUCUCUAAGCCACAGAACAUCUGACCAAAUAUGAUCCGGCUAAUACAAGCCGAUCAACGAACCAAGUUACCCUAGGGAUAACAGCGCAAUCCUCUCCCAGAGUCCAUAUCGACGAGGGGGUUUACGACCUCGAUGUUGGAUCAGGACAUCCUAAUGGUGCAGCCGCUAUUAAGGGUUCGUUUGUUCAACGAUUAAAGUCCUACGUGAUCUGAGUUCAGACCGG
Molecule: ribosomal RNA, 594 nt
Filed under: Carassius gibelio (silver crucian carp)
Lineage: Eukaryota; Metazoa; Chordata; Actinopteri; Cypriniformes; Cyprinidae
Description: partial large subunit ribosomal RNA
Rfam family: Bacterial large subunit ribosomal RNA
Source: RNAcentral